UACGUAGGGGGCUAGCGUUGUCCGGAAUCAUUGGGCGUAAAGCGCGUGUAGGCGGUUCGGUAAGUCCGCUGUGAAAGUCGGGGGCUCAACCCUCGAAUGCCGGUGGAUACUGUCGGACUAGAGUACGGAAGAGGCGAGUGGAAUUCCUGGUGUAGCGGUGAAAUGCGCAGAUAUCAGGAGGAACACCAAUUGCGAAGGCGGUUCUCUGGGCCUUACCUGACGCUGAGGAGCGAAAGCGUGGGGAGCGAACAGG
This 253-nucleotide ribosomal RNA is filed under the name uncultured bacterium. Its description in RNAcentral is "partial 16S ribosomal RNA". It matches the Rfam family "Bacterial small subunit ribosomal RNA", at positions 524 to 776 of the family's 1533-position model. The record is from RNAcentral.